This 253-nucleotide ribosomal RNA is filed under the name uncultured bacterium. Its description in RNAcentral is "partial 16S ribosomal RNA". It matches the Rfam family "Bacterial small subunit ribosomal RNA", at positions 524 to 776 of the family's 1533-position model. The record is from RNAcentral.
UACGUAGGGUGCAAGCGUUAAUCGGAAUUACUGGGCGUAAAGCGUGCGCAGGCGGUUGGGCGAGACCGAGGUGAAAUCCCCGGGCUUAACCUGGGAAUGGCAUUGGUGACUGCACGGCUAGAGUGUGUCAGAGGGGGGUAGAAUUCCACGUGUAGCAGUGAAAUGCGUAGAGAUGUGGAGGAAUACCGAUGGCGAAGGCAGCCCCCUGGGAUAACACUGACGCUCAUGCACGAAAGCGUGGGGAGCAAACAGG